UGCAAUAAAAACAAGCACACUUUGACUCGGUUCAUUUGUAUUUUCUUCAUUUUUUAAUAGAACAAACACACUCAUGCAGUUGUAGCUCCGUUCGACAACAAGUCCCUCCCAGCCUUCACUUUCUUUCGUCCUCAAUUACAGUGAGCCUCACCUCUGCCCUCAAUACAUUUCAAUAUCAAUCGACUUCCUUCUCCAUUCUUUUGAUUUACUCCGUUGGUGUUGCCAUUUCGGCAGUUUCUUCUGCCAUGACCACAUCUUCUUCCUCAGGUAAGGUCCAUCGAUUAAUCUGGGUAUGAACUUGAAAUCAUAAAGCUUUUUUUUCCCUUCUCUUAAAUCGAUUUUGGUCUUUGAAGUUGAAAGUUUUUUCUUUUUCCUUUAUGUGUUUUUGAUCUGGAAGUUAUUAUGGAAAAAAUAUAUAUUUAUAUUUAUAAUAGGCCACCAAAGUCGACUAUCUUCAUAAUGUGGUGUCCAUCGAUUUAGUAUGUGUAUCAUUGUUUUUGUUAGAAUAUUAUUUGUUUUGUUCAAUUGUUUUAUUCUCUUUGUAUAGUAUAAUGGAUCCUUUGUAACGGGUGUGUGUAUAUACACACACGCAACCCUAAUUAAGGGGUUUCCACAUUAAUUAGCAUGGUAUUAAGCCUCCUUGCGUAUGCCUCAUAGCAAACUCACGGGGAUCAAUUUUUUCAUCGAUCGAUGUUUCUUCCACUCGAUUUUGUCAUCGUCUGUGGUCGAGUUCCAAAAUAGUAUUUUUCUUCUUUUUUUUUUUUACUGUGUUUGGCUACCUAUUAUGUCUUUGUGCCUGAUAUCCCGAUCUUUUAUUUACUAGGUCUCGCCCUCAAGACGUCGUUGAUCACUUGUUGUUCAAGAUCUCAUCACUUCCCUACAUUAGAAGUUCUACAGAUCAUUUGGUUCCUUCUGCCCAAGGUUAGCUUCUAGUCUAUUAUUUCUUGUCUCUGUUAAAUUUUAUUUUGUUGAUUUUUUCGGGGUCUAAAUGACUGGUUCCGUAGCCUCCUCUUCCGUCAUGUGUUCUAACCCUACAGCCAGUCUGUUGGUCUUUGCACUUACUAAUGUCUACUCACAGCUUAGUUUCAGUUUAUAUGUAAGCGACUCUAAAUAUAAAUUAUUGCGCGAUUUUUAAAGACAUAUGCAAAGGUGCUAAGGUACACGGACAUAUCACUGAAAACUAAGCCCCAAGGAGACGAAGAUGAAGAUUAGGUGGCCAUUGACUUUAGAAUCAAAUCUUUGUUUUCUAGUGAUGAUUGCACCUCAAAAGACCUUUGGGACAAAUUUGAUGAGUUUUUUUCUCAAUAAUAAGAUGUCUCAUAUUCUUCAACUUCAAGAAUAAUUUUGUAAUACCAAGAAAGGCUCCUCUUCCAUUACGGAGUUUUAGCAUUCUCUAAAGAAUUUGGUUGAAGCUCUUCCAGAUUGUGACUCAAAUAUUGAUGAGGUCCUAUAAUAAUAUUGUCGAUGUCAUCACCAACAUGAAACCAUUUCCAUCAUUCCUUGAAGCAAAGAAUAUGAUAUUAAUUCAUGAAACUCAUGAAGAAUCUAUUGAUCCUCUUGGUGAUGCACUUCUCACCUCCUUCUCAACUCUUUACUCAAGCUCGACCCAUGGAAAACCAAGAAAUAAGUUUAAAAAAGGCAAAAAUAAUGGAUGGGUUGCUUCCAUGGGGUAACACUAAUGUUUUUGCUAGUUCUUCUCAUUUUUCAGGUUUUCAAGGCACAAAUGGUCAAUUUCAAGCACUUUAUGAAGCUCUAACUGCUUUUUCUCCACAUUGUGAGAUAUUGUAUGUAUACCCACAUGAUAAACUUGUAAGCCUUCUAGAUCAGUUUAAGGAUUGAGAUAAAAAUGCCAUAAAGCUACGUGCUUACACUAAAUAUAAAAAAAAUAUUAAAUGAAAUAUGUCACAAAAAUUAGAAAACAAAAAAUUGAUAGAAUUAUAUAAACUGUUCGCUAUUAAUGUAAUCUGGAUUACUGAUAUUGGCUACUGGCAAGGACAAUUUACUGGAUUACACUAUAGAUGAUGUUAGAGAUUGAACUUUCAUUUGGAAACAGGCUAUUUGUUAUCUUUGUUUAUGGUUGUUAAAGAAUUAAAUCACCAAGAGUGUCCAAUAAUCUAGCUAAUUGAGGAAUUGAGCCCACUUAUUGUAAUAUAUACCUAGAAAUCAUGUAUAUACAAAACAUAAUAUAUUGUAAUGUCAAUCGACUUCCUCCUCCAUUCUUUUGAUUUCCUCCGUUGGUGUUGCCAUUUCGACAGUUUCUUCUGCCAUGACCACGUCUUCUUCCUCAGGUAAGGUCCAUCGAUUAAUCUGGGUAUGAACUUGAAAUCAUAAAGCUUUUUUUUUCCUUCUCUUAAAUCGAUUUUGGUCUUUGAAGUUGAAAGUUUUUUCUUUUUCCUUUAUGUGUUUUUGAUCAGGAAGCUAUUAUGGAAAAAAUAUAUAUUUAUAUUUACAUUAGGCCACCAAAGUCGACUAUCUUCAUAAUGUGGUGUACAUCGAUUUAGUAUGUGUAUCAUUGUUUUUGUUAGAAUAUUAUUUGUUUUGUUCAAUUGUUUUAUUCUCUUUGUAUAGUAUAAUGGAUCCUUUGUAACGGGUGUGUGUAUAUACACACACACGCAACCCUAAUUAAGGGGUUUCCACAUUAAUUAGCAUGGUAUUAAGCCUCCUUGCGUAUGCCUCAUAGCAAACUCACGGGGAUCNUCUUAAAUCGAUUUUGGUCUUUGAAGUUGAAAGUUUUUUCUUUUUCCUUUAUGUGUUUUUGAUCAGGAAGCUAUUAUGGAAAAAAUAUAUAUUUAUAUUUACAUUAGGCCACCAAAGUCGACUAUCUUCAUAAUGUGGUGUACAUCGAUUUAGUAUGUGUAUCAUUGUUUUUGUUAGAAUAUUAUUUGUUUUGUUCAAUUGUUUUAUUCUCUUUGUAUAGUAUAAUGGAUCCUUUGUAACGGGUGUGUGUAUAUACACACACACGCAACCCUAAUUAAGGGGUUUCCACAUUAAUUAGCAUGGUAUUAAGCCUCCUUGCGUAUGCCUCAUAGCAAACUCACGGGGAUCAAUUUUUUCAUCGAUCGAUGUUUCUUCCACUCGAUUUUGUCAUCGCCUGUAGUCGAGUUCCAAAAUAGUAUUUUUCUUCUUUUUUUUACUGUGUUUGGCUACCUAUUAUGUCUCUGUGCCUGAUAUCCCGAUCUUUUAUUUACUAGGUCUCGCCCUCAAGACGUCGUUGAUCACUUGUUGUUCAAGAUCUCAUCACUUCCCUACAUUAGAAGUUCUACAGAUCAUUUGGUUCCUUC
Molecule: long non-coding RNA, 3281 nt
Filed under: Lactuca sativa (garden lettuce)
Lineage: Eukaryota; Viridiplantae; Streptophyta; Magnoliopsida; Asterales; Asteraceae
Description: long non-coding RNA (LSAT_LNC009302)
Source: RNAcentral